GUAAACAUUAAGAAAAAAAUCAAUUGGGCCUAACCCAAUAAAAUAAAACAAAACCCUAAAAAAAUAAAAAGAUAAUAAUUAUAUAUAAAAAAAGAAAAAAAAAGAAAGUAGCAAGAGGAGGGAAUGAGAUGUCAGCGCCACUUGGAGAAGAGGGAGAGAGGUUUUUUUUUUCAAAUUCAAAAGCCCCCAUUCACACUUUGAUGCAUGGUAGUGGAAAAGAAAAAAAUGAAACAAACUCUCAAACGUCUUUCUCACUCAAUACCUUUUUUCCCAGAAAUAUAAACUCAAACUUUCAAGAUCUCUCUCAACCUCUUCCUUUCUCAUUCAUGUUUCAGCAAACGAAAAAGAUUUUUU
This 354-nucleotide long non-coding RNA is filed under the name Lathyrus oleraceus (garden pea). RNAcentral's name for it is "Pisum sativum (pea) long non-coding RNA (PSAT_LNC018284)". The record is from RNAcentral. Lineage: Eukaryota; Viridiplantae; Streptophyta; Magnoliopsida; Fabales; Fabaceae.